This 301-nucleotide ribosomal RNA is filed under the name uncultured bacterium. RNAcentral describes it as "partial 16S ribosomal RNA". It matches the Rfam family "Bacterial small subunit ribosomal RNA", at positions 509 to 808 of the family's 1533-position model. The record is from RNAcentral.
CAGUCGCCGCGGUAAAACGAAGGGGGCUAGCGUUGUUCGGAAUUACUGGGCGUAAAGCGCACGUAGGCGGAUAUUUAAGUCAGGGGUGAAAUCCCGCAGCUCAACUGCGGAACUGCCUUUGAUACUGGGUAUCUUGAGUAUGGAAGAGGUUAGUGGAAUUGCGAGUGUAGAGGUGAAAUUCGUAGAUAUUCGCAGGAACACCAGUGGCGAAGGCGGCUAACUGGUCCAUAACUGACGCUGAGGUGCGAAAGCGUGGGGAGCAAACAGGAUUAGAUACCCCUGUAGUCCCGUCUCUUAUACA